UUUCAAGACGUUCAGACGCGGAGCGGCGGACGCCGAAACAACCGAAUCCACUCUCUUCUCAUUUGGUCUUUUUUUUUUUUUUCUCUCUCUCCCCGACAGAGAGAGAGAGAGGGAGAGAGGGAGAGAGAGAAAGAGCAUCAGACCUUCAAUUGACUCUGGAACGAUGGCGGCUUUUAGGGUUUUGUAGAGAUAUUUGAGUUCUAUCUAUGGAAAUGCCCGGGAGGCGAUCCAAUUACACUCUGCUGAGUCAAUAUCCUGAAGAACAGCAAGCACAGCUGCAGCAGCCAUCCAAGUUCUCUGUGGCGGGUGGUAGUGCAGGUGCAGCGCCAGUGACGUUCUACGAGUCUUUGUCUGCGGAGAAGAACAAAGGGAAGACGGAGAGGGGGUUCGAUUGGGAUGGAGAUCAUCGACUGCAGCAAGGGGGAGGACGGAUCGGGAGUAUGUUUCCGUCGAUCGGAUUGCAGAGGCAGUCGAGUGGGAGUAGUUUUGGGGAGAGCUCGUUGUCGGGGGAUUAUUACAACCAGCCGCUAUCUGUGGUAGCGAAUGAUCAGGAAGUUUUCGGUCAAUUGCAGGAAGAUGGAUUUAAGGUUGGUGGUGGAGAGUCGAGGCUGAAAGUGGUGGAAGCGGGAGGAUCUUCUUCGUCCAAGAGCUGGGCUCAGCAGACUGAGGAGAGUUAUCAGUUGCAGCUGGCGUUGGCGCUUCGGCUUUCAUCAGAAGCCACUUGUGCUGAUGAUCCCAAUUUCUUGGAUCCCGUCCCUGAUGAAUCCGCUCUCAGGUCUUCUUCUUCCUCGGCAGAGGCUAUGUCUCAUCGAUUCUGGGUGAAUGGUUGCUUAUCUUACUUUGACAAGAUUCCGGAUGGAUUUUAUGUGAUUCAUGGAAUGGAUCCUUAUGUAUGGACAGUUUGCUCUGAUCUCCAAGAGACUGGUCGGAUCCCAUCUAUUGAAUCACUCAAGGGUGUUGAUUCUUGUGAUGGUUCAUCAAUUGAAGUGAUUUUAAUUGAUAAACGCGGUGAUCCUGGUUUGAGAGAGCUACAAAGUAGGGUACAGAACCUUUCCUGUAGCUGCAUUACUAAAAAGGAAAUGGUUGAUCAGCUUGCAAGGCUUGUCUGCCAUCACAUGGGGGGUGCAGCUUCUACAGGAGAAGAUGGUUUCCUUUCAAACUGGAAGGACUGCAGUGAGGUUUUAAAGGAUUGUUUAGGUUCUGUUGUGUUUCCACUGGGAAGUCUAUCAUUUGGCCUUUGCAGACAUCGUGCUCUUCUGUUCAAAGUGUUAGCAGACACAAUUGACUUACCUUGCCGGGUUGCUAAAGGUUGCAAAUAUUGUAGGAGAGAUGAUGCCUCCUCCUGUCUUGUGCGGUUUGGUCCUGACAGGGAAUACUUGGUUGAUUUGAUUGAAAAGCCUGGUUGCUUAUGCGAGCCUGAUUCUUUGCUCAAUGGUCCAUCUUCCAUCUCAAUUUCUUCACCUCUACGUCUUCCAAAGUUCAGAACACCUGAAACUACCGAGAAUUUCAGGUCCUUGGCAAAACAGUAUUUCUUGGACUGUCAAUCACUUAAUCUCGUAUUUGAUGAUUCUUCAGCAGAUGCUGCUGCUGAUAAAGAAGAUGUUACAAAUCCACAAUUUCCUAGGAACACUGAUACGGGCAAUCCAUUGAUUCCUUCAAAUAACAAUAAUGAAGUAUUUGUCUCACCUCUUCCACAAGAUGCCUGGUUAAAUACUCAUGAACUGACACAAAAUUUGUAUAAUCCUCCUCUCAAUGUUGGAAGUUCAAAACCUCCCAUCCCACUAAAUCGUAUCCAUCCAAAUGUUCUGGCCUUACCUGAGACUAAAUUCACUGAGAGAGGUCAACUACUAGCAAGUAAAUCUAAUGAACUUUCUCUUGAUGUGGAGGACUUUGAGAUUCCAUGGAGUGAUCUUGUUUUGAAGGAGAGAAUUGGAGCAGGUUCCUUUGGAAUUGUCCAUCGUGCUGAUUGGCAUGGUUCGGAUGUUGCUGUGAAGAUUCUCAUGGAACAAGAUUUUCAUGCAGAGCGCUUCAAGGAAUUUUUGAGGGAGGUUGCAAUUAUGAAACGCCUCCGACAUCCAAAUGUUGUUCUUUUCAUGGGGGCUGUUACCCAACCCCCAAACUUGUCCAUAGUCACAGAAUAUUUAUCAAGAGGCAGCUUAUACAGGCUAUUGCAUAGGCCAGGUCCAAGAGAGAUGUUGGAUGAGAGACGUCGGUUAAAUAUGGCCUAUGAUGUGGCAAAGGGAAUGAAUUAUCUUCACCGACGGAAUCCUCCCAUUGUUCAUCGAGACUUGAAGUCUCCAAAUCUUUUGGUGGAUAAAAAAUAUACAGUAAAGGUAUGUGAUUUUGGCCUUUCCCGAUUUAAGGCAAACACCUUUCUCUCAUCCAAAUCAGCUGCAGGGACUCCUCAAUGGAUGGCACCAGAAGUUCUUCGUGAUGAGCCAUCAAAUGAGAAAUCUGAUGUUUACAGUUUUGGUGUAAUCUUGUGGGAGCUUGUGACACUACAACAACCUUGGAGCAAUUUAAAUCCAGCCCAGGUUGUAGCAGCUGUUGGCUUUAGAGGCAAAAGGCUUGAGAUUCCAAGUGAUGUAAAUCCUCAAGUAGCGUCCUUGAUUGAGGCCUGCUGGGCCAACGAGCCCUGGAAACGCCCCUCUUUUUCUAGUAUCAUGGAAUCCUUGAAGCCAUUGGUGAAACCCCCAGCACCUCAACCCAUUCGUGCAGACAUUCCACGACUAACUUGAAGAAGUCAAAUGGGCACAUGCCGGUAUGCUUUUUUAUGAUCUGAUGGGUGACAGAGUCUCUUAUUCUCCUAGACUGCAGGUUCACCGGGCUCUAGUGGGCAUUUCCUUUUUCCAUUCUGAGAAAAGAGGACUCUUAACUUGGGCUAGGGGAACUACCACCAGAUCACAUCUUACUGGACAGUGUCUGCCAAACACCAUCUUUACCAUCUCCUGAAGAUAUUGAUCUUACGUGUUGAUUCUGCACUUGCCUACACAUAAUUUUUGUAUGUAUCAUUGCUCUGUAAUUAAAUUUUAAAAACAAACAAGUUCAAGGAAACCAAAUAUGCCUUCCCCAGCGGAAGCAAUACCGCUUCAGCAUUCUUUGUGUAGAAUUUGCAGUUUGGCUAUAUAGGCCGGCCUCUGUUGAUAUUCCCCGUGUGUUAGUGAUUGAAUUGAUGGCCUAUGUUGACAAAAUGCAAAACAGAACAUGCUAUGGCAGAGUUUUUUACAUGGAACGCAAAACAGCUCCUGAUUAUUAUUAUUA
Nelumbo nucifera (sacred lotus) is the source of this 3261-nucleotide RNA transcript. It is a transcript of the gene named Protein kinase superfamily protein, with no coding region annotated. Lineage: Eukaryota; Viridiplantae; Streptophyta; Magnoliopsida; Proteales; Nelumbonaceae. The record is from RefSeq and is a predicted model, not a curated record.